Molecule: long non-coding RNA, 1035 nt
Organism: Nannospalax galili (Upper Galilee mountains blind mole rat)
Lineage: Eukaryota; Metazoa; Chordata; Mammalia; Rodentia; Spalacidae
Product: protein Hook homolog
Exons: 6
Source: RefSeq, a predicted model, not a curated record
AUGGCGGGGAGGCAUGGCCACAGGCAGCCAGAGCUGAAAACAGAGAGAGAACUGGAAGUGGGGCCAGACUAUGUAAGUCUCAAAACAGACCCCAAGUUACGUGCUUCCUCUGGCAAGGUCGUACCUCGUAAAGAUUCCAUGGCUGCUCAAACAGCGCCACCAACUGGGCCCAUAUACCAGGUUAUCCGUACUUUAGAUCCUAAACAGAACCAAGGGGCAGCACCAGAAAUACAAGCUCUUAAAAAUCAACUCCAGGAACGAGAUCGACUCUUCCAUUCAUUAGAAAAAGAAUAUGAGAAAACCAAGAGUCAAAGAGACAUGGAGGAGAAAUACAUCGUUAGUGCCUGGUACAAUAUGGGAAUGACUCUGCAUAAAAAGGCGGCUGAAGAUAGACUAGCUAGCACAGGUUCAGGGCAGUCUUUUCUAGCUAGGCAAAGACAAGCAACCAGCACAAGAAGAUCUUACCCUGGCCAUGUUCAGCCGGCCACAGCAAGCUUAAAAGAAGAAUUAAAUACCGUGAGAAUAGCAGCCAAAUUCUUCUUUCUACUGGAUAAAGCCAGUCACCUAGAAGAAAACAACACUGAAACAGAAAAAACUACAUUCAACUUUGAGGGAAUAGGUAACAUUUUUCCUUUCCAGAGUAAAAGCCAGGAUGGUGGCACACACCUGUAAGCUCAGCACCAGGCUGUGGCAGGAGGAUCACCAGUUUGAAGUCAGAACAUAGCAAGUUCAAAACCAGUCUGUCUCAGAAAACAAGAAUUGCACAUGAGAAGAAAAUAAACAAUAUUUUAAAUAUAUUUAAUUGUUCAAUGGAACAGUUUUCUAUGUGUCUUAACGUCUACUGGCUUCUUGUUAAUCUAGAUAAAAGUAGAUUAUUGAUCAAUUCAGUACUACCUCCAUUGUGUAGCAAUUCUAAUUUCAUGGAGCUCACACCUGGAUUUGUAGUACUUUGAGGCUUAGGUAGGAGGACUGCCACCAGUUCAAGUGAGCAUGGCUUACAUAGUUCCAGGUCAGCCUGGGCUAUGGUGUGAGGCC